GGAAUUGACGGGACCGCACAAGCGGUGAUGAUGUGGUUAAUUCGAUGCAACGCGAAAACCUUACCACCUUUGACAUGUACGGAACCUUUAGAGAUAGAGGGUGCUCGAAAGAGAGCCGUAACACAGGUGCUGCAUGGCUGUCGUCAGCUCGUGUCGUGAGAUGUUGGGUUAAGUCCCGCAACGAGCGCAACCCUUGUCAUUAGUUGCUACAUUCAGUUGGGCACUCUAAUGAGACUGCCGGUGACAAGCCGGAGGAAGGUGGGGAUGACGUCAAGUCCUCAUGGCCCUUAUAGGUGGGGCUACACACGUGCUACAAUGGGCGGUACAAAGAGAAGCUAACUCGCGAGAGUACGCCAAUCUCAAAAAGCCGUCCUAAGUUCGGAUUGAAGUCUGCAACUCGACUUCAUGAAGCUGGAAUCGCUAGUAAUCGCGGAUCAGCAUGUCGCGGUGAAUACGUUCCCGGGCCUU
Molecule: ribosomal RNA, 468 nt
Filed under: uncultured Rhodoferax sp.
Lineage: Bacteria; Pseudomonadati; Pseudomonadota; Betaproteobacteria; Burkholderiales; Comamonadaceae
Description: bacterial SSU rRNA
Rfam family: Bacterial small subunit ribosomal RNA
Source: RNAcentral